This is a long non-coding RNA of Loxodonta africana (African savanna elephant), 8488 nucleotides long. RefSeq lists it as uncharacterized. The transcript has 3 exons. Lineage: Eukaryota; Metazoa; Chordata; Mammalia; Proboscidea; Elephantidae. The record is from RefSeq and is a predicted model, not a curated record.
AAACCCAGAAAAUAAAUGUUGGAGAGCCUGCAGGGAGAUUGGAACUCUUAGCACUGCUGGUGGGAAUGCAAAAUGGCACAACCAUUUUGGAAAAUGAUAUGGUGCAUCCUCAGAAAGCUAGAAAUAGAAAUACCAUAUGAUCCAGCAAUCCCACUUCUAGGAAUAUACCCUAGGGAAAUAAAAGCUGUUUCAUGAAUAGACACACGUGCACACCCAUGUUCAUUGCCACAUUUUUCACAAUAGCAAUACAAUAUGGUGGAAAUAACCUGGUGCUCAUCAACAGAUGAAUGGAUAAACAAACCAUGGUAUACACACAAUGGAACAUUAUGCAACGAUAAAUAACAAUAAUGAAUGUGUGAAGCAUCUCACAACAUGGAUGAAUCUGGAGGGCUGAGUGGAAUAAGUCAAUCACAAAAGGAUAAAUAUUGUAUGAGACCACUACUAUAAAAACUCCAGAAUAGGUUUACACACAAAAAGAAACAAUCUUUGAUGGGUAUGAAGGAGGGGAGGGGCAGGGAUGUAAAACACUAAAUAAACAAAUAGAUAAGUGGUAACUUGGAAUGGUAAGACCGUAUGCAAUACUGGGGAAGCCAGCACACCUUGUUCAGGGUAAGGUCAUGGAAGGUCCAUGGACAAGGUUCAUCCUUUGCUCAAAGAUUAGACAGGCCCGUAAAACGAAACAAGACUAAAGGGACACAACAGCCCAGGUGCAAGGACUAGAAAGCAGGAGGGGACAGGAAAGAGGGAACCCAAGGUCGAGAAGGGGAGUGUUGAGAUGUCCUGAGGUUGUUAAGCAACAACAUAAAACAAUAUGUGUACUAUUUCAUAAGAAGCUAGUUUGUUCUGUAAACCUUCAUCUAAAGUUCAAUAUAAAUAAAUAAAUAAAUAGAUUAAAGCCUGCAUCAAUCAGUAAUUAAAACAUUUAAGGUAAACUCAACUAAGCAAAUUAUUGCAAUUAUUGCACUUACUAAUUGUAAUUACUAUAUGAUAAUGAGAUAAUAUUUAACAAAUACUUUAAUUGGUAUUUAAAAAUAUAAAUUUUAUACAUAACAAUGUAGUUCAGUCUUUAUAAAGAAUUAAAAUAACCUCUAUAAUGCAUAUAUUUCCAGUUUUUAAAUACAAUUCUCUUUUACUUUUAAAAGAAAAAACGUAUUAUCUCUCUAUGGUAGGCUUGUUAGAAACUCAAUGGCAAUAUUUGCAAGAUGCUUUCAUUCAGAAUCUUGCAGAUAUGCUGACUGAAAUUAAAAUAUUAAAUUAAAAUAUUCCAAGUACUAUUGUUAUGUGUACAUCUUAAUGCCUAAAUAGCGUUAGUAGAGAUCACUGGAAAAAAAAAAAAAAACUUUUAAGUCUUAUAUUUUAGGUUGUUUAUUUUCCCCAUAGGGAAUAGCUUUGUUGUUAUUGUUGUUGUUAGGUGCCGUCGAGUUGGUUCCGACUCAUAGCGACCCUAUGCACAGCAGAAUGAAACACUGCCUGGUCCUGAGCCAUCCUUACAAUCGUUGUUAAGCUUGAGCUCAUUGUUGCAGCCACUGUGUCAAUCCGCCUCGUUGAGUGUCUUCCUCUUUUCCACUGACCCUGUACUCUGCCAAGCAUAAUGUCCUUCUCUAGGGACUGAUCCCUGCUGACAACACGUCCAAAGUAUGUAAGACGCAGUUUCGCCAUCCUUGCCUCUAAGGAGCAUUCUGGCUAUACUUCUUCGAAGACAGAUUUGUUGGUUCUUUUGGCAGUCCGUGGUAUAUUUAAUAUUCUUCUCCAACACCACAAUUCAAAGGUGUCAAUUCUUCUUCAGUCUUCCUUAUUCAUUGUCCAGCUUUCACAUGCAUAUGAUGUGAUUGAAAAUAACAUGGCUUACGUCAGGCACACCUUAGUCUUCAAGGUGACAUCUUGGCUCUUUAACACUUUGAAGAGGUCCUUUGCAGCAGAUUUACCCAAUGCAACGUGUCUUUUGAUUUCUUGACUGCUGCUUCCGUGGCUGUUGAUUGUGGAUCCAAGUAAAAUGAAGUCCUUGACAACUUCAGUCUUUUCUCCGAUUAUCAUGAUGUUGCUCAUUGGUCCAUUUGUGAUGAUUUUUGUUUUCUUUAUGUUGAGGUGCAAUCCAUACUGAAGGCUGUGGUCUUUAAUCUUCAUUAGUAAGUGCUUCAAGUCCUCUUCACUUUCAGCAAGCAAGGUCGGGGAAUCACUUUAGAAAAUAUAUUUCAUCUAUAUCUUCAAAAUUUCCUGAAAUUUUGAAUGUUGACAAAUUUAAAUAGAAUAGCAUGAAGCCCACUGGUGUUGCAACGAUAUCUGUCACUCUUUGUUUGAAAUCUACAGUGACAUAUGAGCAAUAAAUUACACUUAUAUGAGAAUAGUAAAUACUUGAGAACCAAUGAGGAAAAGGGGAAAUUCUAAUUGUUUCUUUUCACACCACCUCCAGAGCAUAGAUAUUAACAUCUCUGUUUUUUUUUUUUUUCCAGAAGUUUGGAGAGUAAUAAUACUUUGCCCAAGGUCACACAGCAAGACAGAAUUUCCUGACUCCAAGGUAGCAAGCUGGUGUUCAAACAAAGUAUGAUAGCCAUGCCUAUCUGAAGAGCGAGACCUCACAGACAUAGACAUGUCUAUUAUGAAACCCUGUUAUUAGUAGUUCCCCUCUGAUAUGUGUGAGAUUUUUCUUUUCAUCCUUCUUGGGAUUAUAAUGUUUUACAAAGAGGAACUUGAAGUACUUACUGAGGAAGAUCAAAGAUUAUAGCCUUCAGUAUGAAUUGCACCUCAACAUAAAGAAAAAAAAAUACAACCAGACCAAUAAGCAAUAUCAUGGUAAACGGAGAAAAUAUUGAAGUUAUCAAGAACUUCAUUUUACUUGGAUCUACAAUCAACACCCAUGGAAGCAGAAAUCAAGAAAUCAGAUGAUGUAUUGCAUUGGGCAAAUCAGCGGCAAAAGACGUAUUUAAAGUGUUGAAAAGCAAAGAUAUCGCUUUGAGGACUAAGGUGUGCCUGAACAAAACCAUGAUGUUUUCAAUUGCGUCAUAUACAUGUAAAAGCUGGACAAUGAACAAGGAAGAUCAAGGAAGAACUGACACCUUAGAAAUAUGGUGUUGACAAAGAACAUUGAAUAUACAUGAACUGCCAGAAGGAUGAACAAAUCUGUCUUGGAAGAAGUACAAUCAGAGUGUUCCUUAGAAGCAAAGAUGGCGAGACUUCAUCUCACAUACUUUGGAUAUGUUAUCAGGAGGGACAAGUCUCUGGAGAAGGACAUCAUGCUUGGUAAAGUAGAAGGUUAACGACAAAGAGGAAGGCCCUCAGUGAGGUGGAUUGACACAGUGGCUACAACAAACAUAACAAAGAUUGUGAGGAUGGCACAGGACCAGGCAGUGUUUCACUGUGUUGUACAUAGGGUACCUAUGAGUCAGAACAGACUCAAAGACACCUAACAAUAACAAUGACAAUAUUCCCCUUUUAUACUUGACUUUUCUACAAGUCAACCCAAACUACUUUAAAAUUCUCCAAAAUAAUGUAACAAUAUAGCUUGAAUCCUUCAUGACAAUCCUAACGUAAAAUAAUCUGUUGCUAUAUUUUUUUGUUUUUUUGUUCUUAUGUUAGUCCAUGUUUCACACAUUAUGCUUGAUCCAAUGCCAUGGUGAUUCUGGGUCUUGGUAUUAUCCCUACCAUAUACAAUGGAAUCAAGUUCUACUAAGUUCGAGAAGUUCAUAAAAAGUAAGCCCAGAAUGGUGCUUAUAGCAGAAUGUCUGAUGCUCAGUUUUGGCAAAUUGUAAGAAGAGUUUGAAGUACACUACAAACUCUGACAAGCAGUUAUAUAUUUAGGAUGCCAUGAAAACUAAAGAUAUGUAUUGGUAACUGACCCACAGUGUUCAUGACAAUUACAGAACCAGUGGUCAUCACUGGAAAGUACUUGUAUUCAUUGUGGCUAAACUGAAUGCCUCGUUUUAGAGAACAGAAAGCCUUCGUAGGUUUUCUUAAAGUUCUAUUUAUGAUUACCCACUUGGGUAAAAGGGAAGUAACAAAUACAGAAUAUGAUAGAUUUUAGACAGUACACUUUAUAUUGAAUCUAAGAUUUGUACUAAUCUUCAAGCCCUGAUCACAAAAAUGUUCCUUAUGUUUUGCUUCUAGCAACCCUAGGAGCUGGGGAAUUUGGACCUUCCCAUGGGCAGAUAUGUCAGUCAUGGGCUCUAAUCCUCGUCUUUAGAGUCUUAGGAUCCUGUAAUAUGAGAGAAAGAAUGACCACAUUGGGCUUCAUGCCUUCAGGUUGCAUUUAGAAAAACCUUUUUUUUUUUUUUUUGUCACAACAGGGGAAUGAGGAAUGAAAAGGACGUAUGUCUGGAUGGUCACAGUGACCCCACUUGUGACCUACCGCACCAAACUGAAAGCAAAUCAGUGUGUGCAGUCCCCAUUGCAAGCCCUGAGCUGACUGGAGGGUGGAAGGAGAACUGAUCAAGAUGAGGAACUCACUUUUAUCUUCUUGCUUUCUGGGCUUGUACUUUAAAAAAUGAGACAUACAGACAUCUCUUUUGGUUCUCUAAAUCUUCCUUGCCCCUUCUGGUCUGUUUCCCUGCACUAAGAUGGCCAGUAUGGUCGCCUUCUUCUCCACCUUAGCCUAUAUUAGCUCUACAGAUAGUAAAGAUUCAGGCAGCAUAUGGGACACAUGAUACAGCCUAAUAUGUCAGUAACUAGUGAAAAUAAAUUUCUCCUUCUACCUGUUCAUAGUCUGGAAGCUGUGCUGUUUUCCCCGUGGUGGAAGUAAAACCAUCUUCAUUCUUAGCAUCUGGUAAUAAGGAUUCUCCCUGGUUUUAAGGAUCAUGAUGUGUUUGUGUUUGGAUGGGUGGGGAAAGGGAAAGAAAAAUUGUUUUUCCAGGUACUUGAGAAUUUGGAAGAGAUAUUAAUAUCUGCGUAAAUAUUUAUGUACAGAGAUGUUUAUCAUUAUGUUACUGACAAGAUUUGGAAAAUUGUAAACAAUAGAAAUAUUGAAAAAUGUUUAAAAAAAAAUCAAACCCACUGCCAUCGAGUGAAUUCUGCAUCAUAGCCGCCCUAUAAGACAGAGUAGAAAUGUCCCAUAGGGUUUCCAAGGCUGUAAAAUCUCUGUGGAAGCAGACAGCCACAUCUUUGUCCUGCAGAGCACCUGGUGGGUUCAUAUCUCAAAUCACUAACAUUUUAUUUAGCAGCUGAGCAUGUUAACCACUGUGCCACCAGGGCUGUAUGUUAAAAAUAGUUAACAUCUAAUUAGUUGUAUUGUGACCAUUUCUUCUAAUAUGCAUUUUUAAUGAAUUCCUUAUAAUUAAUAUGGGAUUAAUAUGGGUGAUUAUUUUUGGAAUCUCUAAAAUUAAUUUUAUUUCUUUAAGUAGCAAAGCCACUGACUAAAGUCAAAUAUUUUUAAAAAUCAGUUUUAUCCAUUUAUUUGAUAGCAAAUACGAUGUUACUCCCUUGCUGUAAAAUCUUUCACUGACUUCCUAUUAACUUUAAAGUCUAAAUUCUAAUAUAUAUACAAUGAUUUUUAUAAUCUGAUCAUAUCUAAAUGGCAACCUCACUUUCUAUCUAGUUUUCCUUUCCUCCUUGCACUCUCAGAUUACCAAUUUAUUUGUUAUUCCUCCAGAACAGAAUCUAUCACAUGUUAGUGUCUUUGGAUAUGCUGCCCCCACCCUCUGGAAUGCAAUUCACUCUAUUUUCAUCUGUCAAAAUUCCUCUGCAGAAAGCCUGUCUGCCCUGAUUCCCACAAGAUACACAGGCUGUGUUUCUUUUGUGCUCUAAUUGUAGAUGGUGAAUACCAUGCUAUUACUCCUGGAACAGUGCUUUCUGAGUUUCCUGAGGGUCAAAGGUGUGCUUCUGAUUUCUGUAUGUUAGUCUUCACAACGUGUGCUGGGUUCACAGAAGGAACUCAAUAAUUGGAGGAAGAGGAAUUACACAUCAAAGAGUGGGAGAAGUAGACGUAAUUCAGUAUAUUUCAAAUUUUUCAAAUGAUAAUAUAAAAAUUACACAUAGAUCAAAAUUGAAUACAAAAAAUCAACAUAUCAAUAUAAUAAUGUCAAGCAUAAAAUGAUAUAUAAUAUAGCUCACAUGAGAUAAAACUAAGAGUUCACUAUUAGUUUUUUUUUUUUUCUUAAACAGUGGAUGCUAUGGUACCAUUUUACAUCUAUUCCUUUAGCAAAAUAAUAUUAAACAAUCAAAAUAUGUAUUAACAAGGCUGCAGAAAUCCUGCAACAUUCAUAAAUCAUGGAAGCAUUUCUUUAUUCAUGCAUCCAUUCAACCUGCAUUUAUUAUCUAUUCUGUGUUAUGCGUACUGACAGGAACUGGGGAUACAAAUUGAAUAAGAUAUUGGCCAUGCCCUCAAGGAGAUUAUUGCAAUGAUACAUGAACAGACAGAUUUUAGGAGAUAACUCAAGAGAGAUAUUUAUGUCAAAAUAGGGGCUACAUCAGGAAAAAAAUUCCAAUGAGGAGAGAAACCUUAAAUUAAUAUUUAAACCAAGAAUAAGGCAGGGGAAAAAGUGAGCAAGGUUAAUGAAAGCACAAAGUAAUAAAGUGGGAUGACUCACUCAAGGGCUUAAAUAUUGGUGCAUCAUUUAAAAAAGUAAAUUUAAAAAAGAAUAAUAAUAAAUAUGUUCAUACACUUUGACUCAAUGAGUUUUGUGUUUGGAAAAUUAUGAUGCUAAAACAUUCCAAAGGGCAAACUAUAAUGCCAGUUCAUUUCUAAAGCUAAAGGAAAAGGAAAUAGCUUAAAUGUCCAGAAUUGGGUAACUUAUUAGGUAAAUGAUAGCAUAUUGAUUUACCACAUUAUUAUAUGGUUCUCAAUAUUAUUGAGUAUUAAAAUUAUAUAGCAGCAUGGGAAAAGUUUAUAAAAUGAGGUAGGGGAACAAUGAAAUGCUACAUUUAUGUUACCAGAUUGUGAAUACUGUUUGUUAUUUUUUUCUAGAAGACUUACAGCCUCACUUUUUAUAAAAUGCUUAGACCUAUGAUCCAUUUCAAAUUAAUUUCUGUUUAGCAUAUGGGAUAAAAUUUGAGGUUAACUUUGUUUCCAUAUGGGUUUUGUGUUGUUCCAGCAAAAUUUGUUAAGAGUUUUCUUUUCCUACUGAACUGCUGUGAGGUUUUGGUGAAAAAUCAAUUGACUAUAGAUGAAUGGGCCUCUCUUGGACCUUCUAUUCUAUUUCACUGACCUAGUUGUCUAUCCUUAUGCCACUUCCACACUGCAUUGUACAUGGCUGCUUUAUAGAGAAUCUUCUAGUUAUGUUAAAUUUACCUGUUUGACUUUGUAGUUGCUUUGUACAUGCCUUAAAAGUUUCUUUGCAGAAAAUCAUGUCAUCUGCAAAAGCAAAGUUUUACAUAUUCCUUUCCAAUUUUAUACACCUCCCCUUUUUAUUGCCCUACUACACUUGCAGGAGCCCUGGUGGGACAGUGGUUAAUGGCUAAGCUGCUAACCGAAAGGUCAGCGGUUCGAAUCCAUCAGCCACACCAUGGGAGUAAGAUGAUGCAGGCUGCUCCUAUAAAAAUGUACAGCCUUGGACAUGCUAUGGAGCAGUUCUACUCUGUCCUAUAGGGUCGAUAUGAGUCAGAAUCGACUCCAUGGCAACUGGAAAUGGGGCUGCAUUUGCAAGGGUCUCUGGUACAAUUUUGGAUAAAGUUAGCAAAACAAAAAAGAAAAUAUUAAUCUUAAGGGAACGUCAUUCAAUAUUUUGCCAUAAAAAAUUAUGCUAUUUUCCUGCCUCUAUUGAGAUGAUCACUUGUUUUUCUCUCCUUAUUCUGUUUAAAUGUUGAUUUAUUAAUUUUCAAAUGUUAACCAAAUUGUAUUAGUGAGAUAAACUCGACUUUGUCAUGUUGUAUUGCUCUUUUUGUAUAAUAUAGGAUUCUAGUUGCUAAUAUUUUGUUAAAGAUGCAGUGUCUUAAUUUUUAUUUCUUGUCAUAUCUUUGUCAAGUUUUAGGAUCAGAUUUAUACUCCUCUCAUAAAAAGAAUUGCUAUGUAUUCCUUCCUACUCUAUUUUGUAAAAGAGUGUUUAGAUUUGACUUUAUUUUUUCUUAAAAUUUUUAUAAAACCAUCUGGACCUUGAGUUUCCUUUACAGCAAGUUUUUGAUUACAUAUUCAAUUUAUUUUAUGGUCCAAGAGCUAACGUGAUUUUCUCUUUCAACUUGUGUCAGUUUUAGAAAUGUAUGCUUUUUAAGGAAUUUGUAUGUUUUAUCUAAAAUGUUGAAUUUAUUGGAAAAGAAAAGUUAAACUUUAUAUAAGUUAAACAUUUCUGCUCAUUAAAAACACCUUUAAAAGCAUCUGGUUAUGGUUAAGAUGGAAAAAGUGCUCUCUACCUGGAUUCUCACACUGAAUGCAUGGAGCUGCUACCUGAAGACUCUGAAAGGUAAGUGGUAGCAGGGAGGUCGGAGAGAGAAAAAAAAAAAAGACCCAAAUUAAGGUCAAUCCAACAGUGAAUGUCCCUUUUUUUUCCUGUUUCUCCAGAGUCCUCUACCCUGAACUCAAAGGCAGCUUGAAAUGCAAAAUUUCACACUUCUUGCGCACAGAGACAUC